CCGUUCUUGACCUCGCGUAAACCUUAACAUGCGUUAACGCGGUUGUGCGUACAUAUAUUUGCAGACGUACGGGGCGACAGUUUAAUGUGUAUUGACAAGCGACACCCCCUCACCUCUCUAAAGUCACACACAAGCAUGCGCGACUCCAAACAGACUGCAGUAACACAACAUUAAGCGGUUUUCUCUUCUCUGUUAUCUGCAGCUUCCUUUUUGCCCUUUGGUUAAACAUUCUCUUGGCAUGCAUGAUCUCAUUUAACUUUGAUUUCCUUCUUUUUUUUUCCAGGACAGCAUUCUUGAUGGUUCCAAUUUCCAACCCAUUCCCCAAUUUUCAACUCCAAUGACAGGCAACACAUGCAGGAAUGGCUGUUUAGCUACAGAAGGGAGCUGCGUCACUCACGUCACCACCAGCGUUGGCCUAAUAUCAUCCUCCUGAACCCACACAGCAUUCUACUCCACGGCGAUUCACCUCGGCAGAUCCCAGCGCAGCCGGCAUGUCGAGACACGGCCCCGGUUUAGAGAGGGUGAAAAUGUUUGGGUGGCUCAACCCUUUCAAAUUAAAUGGAGGGCAUCAUCAGAAGUGAUUAAAAAGGGUGGAAGACAGCGUGUGUGUGUGUGUGUGAAAUGUCAGGACGAGUUCGUACAGGCUGGAUGACCUGCACCCAGAGCCAGGAAGCUUAUUAGCAUUUCAGCGCAUAGCAACCUGCUUAGCCCCAAGCACUGAUCUUAACACUAUCUGUCUAAAACCCCUCUCUCUCUCUCUCUCUCUCUCUCGCGCUCUCUUUCUCUAUCGUUUCUCUCUCUCCUCCUGCAUGGGCUAAUCCCCCCCCAACAUUCAUGUCAAGCUGGUGGUUCAGUCACGUCAGGAAUGCUUCUGUGGGUUAAUGUGGAAUCGGAGCCGGGGCUGGGGAUGUUUGUACACCGCACUUUGAUAAGUCGAAUGUCAUUCGAAUGCGGCGCGGCAAAGGUGAUGCCGAGUUCUCGCUUAUCCGCUCGUGGCAUCAGAUCGGAGUGUUGAAAUAAGCUAGAGCUGCGGUUUCAAACCGAGGCGGAGAACGACUUUGAGUCAGGCUCAUUAAAAUGCUAGAAUUCCUGUCAUGUUUGUACUGAGAGAAAGGAUUAUUCAUUUCGUUUUUAUUGCGUUAACAGUGUAUUUUUUCCCUCCUCGCGAAGCCAAGGUUUGCUCAGAGGCUAAUUCAAAGCACCUCAGUCACUGUUUGCCUACGUGUAGACAAGCUGUUUAAACUCAUAGAGAUCUGUCUGCACUCUCCUUUACUUUUAAUCUGGGUCGAUCCUUGGUCUCAACACCAUCUUUGUCUCCAUUGGUCCGGACUUGAAAGAAGGAGAAGUUAAAAUUUCAGCAUAUGGACUUGUUGAAGUGCACAUUUCAUCCUCCUCCGCGGAUUUUAUAAUAGAGAUAAUAUCCACCUUUCACCACUCG
Molecule: long non-coding RNA, 1438 nt
Filed under: Betta splendens (Siamese fighting fish)
Lineage: Eukaryota; Metazoa; Chordata; Actinopteri; Anabantiformes; Osphronemidae
Description: lncRNA (ENSBSLG00000007297.1)
Source: RNAcentral